Non-coding RNA from Megalops atlanticus (tarpon), 87 nucleotides. NCBI's taxonomy places the organism in Eukaryota, Metazoa, Chordata, Actinopteri, Elopiformes, Megalopidae. The record is from the annotation of a GenBank genome assembly.
GCCAGCAUGGCUGAGUGGUUAUGGUGUCAGACUUUAAGAUCCAGCCUCGGAUGCCAGCCUGUGUGGGUCCAAACCCCUCUCCUGGUG